RNAcentral lists this ribosomal RNA (1572 nucleotides) under metagenome. RNAcentral describes it as "bacterial LSU rRNA". It matches the Rfam family "Bacterial large subunit ribosomal RNA", at positions 1314 to 2910 of the family's 2925-position model. The record is from RNAcentral.
AAGGAGGGUUAGAUUCCCUCCCGCUGUAAGACCAAGGUUUCCCGGGCAAUGCCAAUCAGCCCGGGGUCAGUCGGGUCCUAAGUCUAAGCCGAACGGCGAUGGCGAUGGCAGAGACGGUUAAUAUUCCGUCACUGCCGCAUGGGGCGACGUGGAGACGGAGCAGUGAAACCACCGCGGGGCGACGGAAGUCCCCGUUGAAGAGUGUAGGUGUUGAGGAUGGCAGGCAAAUCCACCGUCCGAGCUGAACUUGAUAGUAUGGAGUCUUCUUCGGAAGAAUCCAAUAGUGUGGGUAAUCAUACUCCCGAGAAAAUCCGCUAAGCUUAACCCAUGCGGCACCCGUACCGCAAACGGACACACGGGGUCGGGUAGAACAUACUGAGGCGUUGAGAGAUUCAUGGUUAAGGAACUAGGCAAAUUGACCCUGUAACUUCGGGAUAAAGGGUCCUCGUGAAUAGCGAGGCGCAGAGAAUAGGUCCAGGCAACUGUUUAACAAAAACACAGGGCUGUGCAAACUCGAAAGAUGACGUAUACAGCCUGACACCUGCCCGGUGCCGGAAGGUUAAGAGGAGAUGUCACUAGCAAUAGGAAGCAUUGAAUUGAAGCCCCGGUAAACGGCGGCCGUAACAAUAACGGUCCUAAGGUAGCGAAAUUCCUUGUCGGGUAAGUUCCGACCUGCACGAAUGGUGUAAUGAUCCGGACGCUGUCUCAACCAUGAGCUCAGUGAAAUUGUAGUAUCGGUGAAGAUGCCGAUUACCCGCGAUGGGACGAAAAGACCCCGUGAACCUUUACUACAGCUUAGCAUUGACCUUGGUCAUCCGAUGUGUAGGAUAGGCCGGAGGCUUCGAAGCGGGAGCGCCAGCUUUCGUGGAGCCAUCCUUGAAAUACGGCCCUUUGGCUGUCUGAGGUCUAACGCGUGAAACGCGGACACUGCUUGGUGGGUAGUUUGACUGGGGUGGUCGCCUCCAAAAGCGUAACGGAGGCUUCCAAAGGUGCCCUCGGGUCGAUUGGUAACCGACCUCAAAGAGUGCAAUGGCAUAAGGGCGCUUGACUGGGAGGCAGACAUGCCGAGCAGGCAGGAAACUGGGGCAUAGUGAUCCGGCGGAUGUGUAUGGAAACUCCGUCGCUCAAGGAUAAAAGGUACUCCGGGGAUAACAGGCUGAUCCCCCCCAAGAGCUCAUAUCGACGGGGUGGUUUGGCACCUCGAUAUCGGCUCGUCACAUCCUGGGGCUGGAGAAGGUCCCAAGGGUUGGGCUGUUCGCCCAUUAAAGUGGCACGCGAGCUGGGUUCAGAACGUCGUGAGACAGUUCGGUCUCUAUCUAUCGUGGGCGUGGGAGUUUUGAGUGGUGCCGUCACUAGUACGAGAGGACCGUGAUGGACAGACCUCCGGUUUACCAGUUGUGCCGCCAGGCGCACCGCUGGGUAUCUGAGUCUGGAUUGGAUAAGCGCUGAAAGCAUCUAAGUGCGAAGCCAGCCGCAAGAUGAGAACUCCAUUGAGGGUCGUCAGAGACGAUGACGUUGAUAGGAUGCAGGUGUAAAGACAGCGAUGUCAAAGCCGAGCAUUACUAAUUGCCC